Molecule: ribosomal RNA, 781 nt
Filed under: uncultured bacterium
Lineage: Bacteria
Description: bacterial SSU rRNA
Rfam family: Bacterial small subunit ribosomal RNA
Source: RNAcentral
GUCGAACGAAGCACUUUAAUCGAUUUCUUCGGAUUGAAAUUUUAGUGACUGCCUUGAGGACGGGUGAGUAACGCGUGGGUAACCUGCCUCACACAGGGGGAUAACAGUUGGAAACGGCUGCUAAUACCGCAUAAGCGCACAGUACCACAUGGUACAGUGUGAAAAACUCCGGUGGUGUGAGAUGGACCCGCGUCUGAUUAGCUAGUUGGCAGGGCAACGGCCUACCAAGGCGACGAUCAGUAGCCGACCUGAGAGGGUGACCGGCCACAUUGGGACUGAGACACGGCCCAAACUCCUACGGGAGGCAGCAGUGGGGAAUAUUGCACAAUGGGGGAAACCCUGAUGCAGCGACGCCGCGUGAGCGAAGAAGCAUUUCGGUAUGUAAAGCUCUAUCAGCAGGGAAGAAGAAAUGACGGUACCUGACUAAGAAGCACCGGCUAAAUACGUGCCAGCAGCCGCGGUAAUACGUAUGGUGCAAGCGUUAUCCGGAUUUACUGGGUGUAAAGGGAGCGCAGGCGGAAGGCUAAGUCUGAUGUGAAAGCCCGGGGCUCAACCCCGGUACUGCAUUGGAAACUGGUCAUCUAGAGUGUCGGAGGGGUAAGUGGAAUUCCUAGUGUAGCGGUGAAAUGCGUAGAUAUUAGGAGGAACACCAGUGGCGAAGGCGGCUUACUGGACGAUAACUGACGCUGAGGCUCGAAAGCGUGGGGAGCAAACAGGAUUAGAUACCCUGGUAGUCCACGCCGUANACGAUGAAUACUAGGUGUCGGAAAGCANAGCUUUU